RNAcentral lists this ribosomal RNA (320 nucleotides) under uncultured eukaryote. RNAcentral's name for it is "partial 18S ribosomal RNA". It matches the Rfam family "Eukaryotic small subunit ribosomal RNA", at positions 1470 to 1796 of the family's 1831-position model. The record is from RNAcentral.
CCCUUAGAUGUUCUGGGCUGCACGCGCGCUACACUGACACACGCAACGAGUCUCCUGCCCUGACAGGGUCGGGUAAUCAUUUGAGUGUGUGUCGUGAUGGGGAUAGAGUAUUGCAAUUAUUGCUCUUGAACGAGGAAUUCCUAGUAAGCACAAGUCAGCAGCUUGUGCUGAUUACGUCCCUGCCCUUUGUACACACCGCCCGUCGCUCCUACCGAGGGGGUGACCCGGUGAAUGAUUCGGACUCUGGUGCUUCUAGCUGCUAGAUGCGCCGGAGGAAGUUUUGUGAACCUUAUCACUUGGAGGAAGGAGAAGUCGUAACA